AUUGAACGCUGGCGGCAUGCUUUACACAUGCAAGUCGAACGGCAGCGGGUCCUUCGGGAUGCCGGCGAGUGGCGAACGGGUGAGUAAUGCAUCGGAACGUACCGUGUAAUGGGGGAUAACGUAGCGAAAGUUACGCUAAUACCGCAUACGCCCUGAGGGGGAAAGCGGGGGAUCGCAAGACCUCGCGUUAUACGAGCGGCCGAUGUCGGAUUAGCUAGUUGGUGGGGUAAAGGCCCACCAAGGCGACGAUCCGUAGCGGGUCUGAGAGGAUGAUCCGCCACACUGGGACUGAGACACGGCCCAGACUCCUACGGGAGGCAGCAGUGGGGAAUUUUGGACAAUGGGGGCAACCCUGAUCCAGCCAUGCCGCGUGCGGGAAGAAGGCC
This 386-nucleotide ribosomal RNA is filed under the name uncultured bacterium. Its description in RNAcentral is "bacterial SSU rRNA". It matches the Rfam family "Bacterial small subunit ribosomal RNA", at positions 29 to 416 of the family's 1533-position model. The record is from RNAcentral.